GACGAACGCUGGCGGCGUGCCUAAUACAUGCAAGUCGAACGCACUCUCGUUUAGAUUGAAGGAGCUUGCUCCUGAUUGAUAAACAUUUGAGUGAGUGGCGGACGGGUGAGUAACACGUGGGUAACCUGCCCUAAAGUGGGGGAUAACAUUUGGAAACAGAUGCUAAUACCGCAUAAAACCUAACACCGCAUGGUGUAGGGUUGAAAGAUGGUUUCGGCUAUCACUUUAGGAUGGACCCGCGGUGCAUUAGUUAGUUGGUGAGGUAAAGGCUCACCAAGACCGUGAUGCAUAGCCGACCUGAGAGGGUAAUCGGCCACACUGGGACUGAGACACGGCCCAGACUCCUACGGGAGGCAGCAGUAGGGAAUCUUCCACAAUGGACGAAAGUACUGAUGGAGCAACGCCGCGUGAGUGAAGAAGGUUUUCGGAUCGUAAAACUCUAGUUGUUGGAGAAGAAUGUAUCUGAUAGUAACUGAUCAGGUAGUGACGGUAUCCAACCAGAAAGCC
Molecule: ribosomal RNA, 507 nt
Filed under: uncultured bacterium
Lineage: Bacteria
Description: bacterial SSU rRNA
Rfam family: Bacterial small subunit ribosomal RNA
Source: RNAcentral